UGGAGAAGAGCCUGUGAAGUUAGCCAAGAUGACUGCCCGGAGAACCCACAUAAAUAUACACUCGCUCAAUUUAUUUUUUCCUGAUUAAUUUAUGUGGCUAAUCAUAUAUAUUAGGGAGAAAUGCAGGCAAGUCAUUCUUGGCUACUAAACAAACCUCUUUUCU
RNAcentral lists this microRNA precursor (163 nucleotides) under Olea europaea subsp. europaea. Lineage: Eukaryota; Viridiplantae; Streptophyta; Magnoliopsida; Lamiales; Oleaceae. The record is from RNAcentral.